This is a long non-coding RNA of Cottoperca gobio, 783 nucleotides long. The record is from Ensembl. Lineage: Eukaryota; Metazoa; Chordata; Actinopteri; Perciformes; Bovichtidae.
UAUUGUCAUCAAGAAUGUUGCUUAACUGACACGAGGAGUUGGAGCACAAAGUAUCGGCCGUGACGUUUAUUUGAUGUUUUCUGUCGAGUGCAGUUGGCGAGGCUGAGCCGGGCCUUCAGCGGCUGCACCCCCCGGCUGCUCACUCCGACAGGGACUCACAGAGCGUGCAUUUCUUACCGGAGAUCAGCACAGACGUUCUGAACGGGGGCCGAGUGCAGCUCGUGGCUGACCCAGGAUACGCAGAACGUCUACAUCACGCCAGCGGAUCGUGGGCCAACAACAGUUUAUCUGCCCAGCCCUGCAGAGAGAACAAUUCUCCUCGCACAAACUCUUUGGGUCAUGCAAGAAGGGAGUUCCCAUCUCCUCAGCGGGUCACGUCGGCUCCGUCCAAAAGAGAACGCAUCUCCUACCGAGACAACCUGGUGCAGAUGAGCGGCGGCUGGGGAGGGGGCAAGAAGAAGAGGGACAAAGUGUGCAAGUAAAACACAAACUCUUCCACCACCACGUCACUCACCCAACACCCAGAGAAAGUAAAGCAGAUAGAUUUGAUAUCUGUCCCUCCUGCGGGUGCACAUCCCUACAAAGAAUGCAGCGUCUGAUCAUUUCCUAACAUGUAGUGACCCAAUAGAUUACCCCCCCCCCCCGAAGCUAUUCUUUUUAAACUCAGCUGAAAACUCGAGCUCCCUGCCCUGAAACUGAAUUAAGAGCAAUAGGACCUGAACCAGCCCAAAUAUCUUCAGGCACUUUCAUUGUGUUGACUCAGCUCAAGUAUCGCCGAUCGCA